This 74-nucleotide transfer RNA is filed under the name Podarcis lilfordi (Lilford's wall lizard). Its description in RNAcentral is "tRNA.Lys". The stretch from base 7 to 63 matches the Rfam family "tRNA", at positions 9 to 63 of the family's 71-position model. From Rfam's summary of the family: Transfer RNA (tRNA) molecules are approximately 80 nucleotides in length. Their secondary structure includes four short double-helical elements and three loops (D, anti-codon, and T loops). The record is from RNAcentral. Lineage: Eukaryota; Metazoa; Chordata; Lepidosauria; Squamata; Lacertidae.
UAGGGCAGCUGAAUUGGUAGAGCAGGAGAUUCUUAAUCUCGGGGUUGUGGGUUUGAGCCCCACAUCGGGCAAAA